This 650-nucleotide ribosomal RNA is filed under the name uncultured Planctomycetota bacterium. Its description in RNAcentral is "bacterial SSU rRNA". It matches the Rfam family "Bacterial small subunit ribosomal RNA", at positions 85 to 715 of the family's 1533-position model. Lineage: Bacteria; Pseudomonadati; Planctomycetota. The record is from RNAcentral.
AAACAGUAGAGCGGCGAAAGGGUGAGUAAUGCUUGGGUAACUUACCCCUCGGAUCGGAAUAGCCACUGGAAACGGUGGGUAAUGCCGAAUGGUCUCGUUGGAGCUUUGGCUUUGAUGAGUAAAAGUGGGGAUCUUCGGACCCACUACCGAGGGAGAGGCUCGAGUCCUACCAGCUUGUUGGUGAGGUAAUGGCUCACCAAGGCUAAGACGGGUAGCCGGACUGAGAGGUUGGCCGGCCACACUGGCACUGAGACACUGGCCAGACUCCUACGGGAGGCUGCAGUCGAGAAUCUUCCGCAAUGGACGAAAGUCUGACGGAGCGACGCCGCGUGGAGGAAGAAGGCCCUCGGGUUGUAAACUCCUGUCAGGGUUUAAGAAUUCUGGAUCGUUAAUAGCGGUUCAAUUGACGAAGGACCCAAAGGAAGCCACAGCUAACUUCGUGCCAGCAGCUGCGGUAAUACGAAGGUGGCGAGCGUUGUUCGGAUUCACUGGGCAUAAAGGGCGUGUAGGCGGUCUAGAAAGCGGAAUGUGAAAUCCCGGAGCUCAACUCCGGAACUGCAUUCCGAACUUCUAGACUAGAGGACAGGAGGGGGAUCUGGAACUCUAGGUGGAGCGGUGAAAUGCGUAGAUAUCUAGAGGAACGCCGGUGG